RNAcentral lists this long non-coding RNA (556 nucleotides) under Penaeus japonicus. Its description in RNAcentral is "uncharacterized LOC122253155". Lineage: Eukaryota; Metazoa; Arthropoda; Malacostraca; Decapoda; Penaeidae. The record is from RNAcentral.
GUUUGGUGCCCAGCCCGUCAUCCCCACACCGAAGCAACAGAUUUGAUCACCAUGACGAAGGCGAUUAGCUGUUGCAAAGGACUUACCAUGAAGACCGCCCGUAGGACAGAAUCCUUCACAAUGCCUUCAAACAUGCUUCAAAGAUGCUUCGAACCUCAUGCUUCGAACCUCAUGCUUCAAACCUCAUGCUUCGAACCUCAUGCUUCGAACCUCAUGCUUCGAACAUCAUGCUUCGAACCUCAUGCUUCAAACAUCACGCUUCAAACAUACUGAGUUCUAGCUAUUACGCGUGAUAAUAGAUGGUAGACUAAGAUCUUUCCCGCAUGGCUAAAUAAAGUCUACGGUGACAGGACAUCCUCAUCCAGGGUCAAGCCGAGAAGUUAUAUAACAAGAGGAAUCAUUAACGGAUCGGAUAAGGUACGGUCCGUCUUGCUGGUUCCGUUGGCGUCUGAACCUUGAUAGAACCUCGAUGUCUCUCGCCUCCAAGAACGCCUGGCAGGAGAAGAUAGCGAAGGGGGAAAGGGGGGGGGGGUUGAUUAAAUGGAAAAUGUUGUGC